RNAcentral lists this ribosomal RNA (253 nucleotides) under uncultured bacterium. Its description in RNAcentral is "partial 16S ribosomal RNA". It matches the Rfam family "Bacterial small subunit ribosomal RNA", at positions 524 to 776 of the family's 1533-position model. The record is from RNAcentral.
UACGGAGGGGGCUAGCGUUGUUCGGAAUUACUGGGCGUAAAGCGCACGUAGGCGGCUUUGUAAGUUAGAGGUGAAAGCCCGGGGCUCAACCCCGGGUCUGCCGCGAAUACUGCUGGACUUGAGUGCUGUAGAGGCUGGUAGAAUGCCGGGUGUAGCGGUGGAAUGCGUAGAGAUUAGGAAGAACACCAGUGGCGAAGGCGACUUACUGGACUGUAACUGACGCUGAGGCAUGAAAGCGUGGGGAGCAAACAGG